Molecule: unclassified non-coding RNA, 21 nt
Filed under: Mus musculus (house mouse)
Lineage: Eukaryota; Metazoa; Chordata; Mammalia; Rodentia; Muridae
Description: oocyte_clustered_small_RNA1142
Source: RNAcentral
UUGCCUCCUCUAGCUUGCUCA